UACGGAGGGUGCAAGCGUUAUCCGGAUUCACUGGGUUUAAAGGGUGCGUAGGUGGGCUGGUAAGUCCGUGGUGAAAUCUCCGAGCUUAACUCGGAAACUGCCGUGGAUACUAUUAGUCUUGAAUACUGUGGAGGUAAGCGGAAUAUGUCAUGUAGCGGUGAAAUGCUUAGAUAUGACAUAGAACACCAAUUGCGAAGGCAGCUGGCUACACAAAUAUUGACACUGAGGCACGAAAGCGUGGGGAGCGAACAGG
Molecule: ribosomal RNA, 253 nt
Filed under: uncultured bacterium
Lineage: Bacteria
Description: partial 16S ribosomal RNA
Rfam family: Bacterial small subunit ribosomal RNA
Source: RNAcentral